Non-coding RNA from Dermacentor albipictus, 82 nucleotides. The record is from the annotation of a RefSeq genome assembly. Lineage: Eukaryota; Metazoa; Arthropoda; Arachnida; Ixodida; Ixodidae.
GCAGUCGUGGCCGAGUGGUUAAGGCGAUGGACUUAAUAUCCGGUGGGGUCUCCCCGCACAGGUUCUAAUCCUGUCUUCUGCA